Long non-coding RNA from Nanorana parkeri, 100 nucleotides. RefSeq lists it as uncharacterized. Lineage: Eukaryota; Metazoa; Chordata; Amphibia; Anura; Dicroglossidae. The record is from RefSeq and is a predicted model, not a curated record. The transcript has 3 exons.
GAUUUCAGCUGUGACAUUCAGAUGGUAGGGUCAGAAUUUGUCGUAAACAACAUGAAGGCAUGGAUCCAUCAUGCCUUGUAUCAAGGGCAUGUCACUUUAA